CAUAUGGACUAAGGUUAUAUGAAGUCAAAAAAUUAAAUUGGGUGGCAAUUUUAAGAUAAAGUAGAGGAAUAUGUUUAUUAAAUCGAUUUUGCGCGAUUAAUCUUACCUUUUAUUGAACAGUCAUUUCAUACACCUCCGUCUGAAGCGUUUAUUUAAAACUCCUUAACUUUUUAAGUAUUAAGUCAGGUCAAGGCAUGAAUAAUUAAAAGGUUUAAAUGUAUUCUAAUUUUAUAGACGGAUUAUUCUUGUAAUAGAAUAAGAUAAGUAAAAUUUACAAGUAAC
RNAcentral lists this ribosomal RNA (282 nucleotides) under Anaticola crassicornis (slender duck louse). RNAcentral's name for it is "partial 12S ribosomal RNA". Lineage: Eukaryota; Metazoa; Arthropoda; Insecta; Psocodea; Philopteridae. The record is from RNAcentral.